RNAcentral lists this ribosomal RNA (497 nucleotides) under uncultured bacterium. Its description in RNAcentral is "partial 16S ribosomal RNA". It matches the Rfam family "Bacterial small subunit ribosomal RNA", at positions 899 to 1397 of the family's 1533-position model. The record is from RNAcentral.
ACUCAAAGGAAUUGACGGGGGCCCGCACAAGCGGUGGAGUAUGUGGUUUAAUUCGAAGCAACGCGCAGAACCUUACCUGGGUUUGACAUCCACUGAUCGCGGCAGAGAUGUCGUUUUCCCUUCGGGGACAGUGAGACAGGUGCUGCAUGGCUGUCGUCAGCUCGUGUCGUAAGAUGUUGGGUUAAGUCCCGCAACGAGCGCAACCCUUGCUCUUAGUUGCCACCAUUAAGUUGGGCACUCUGAGAGGACUGCCGGUGUUAAACCGGAGGAAGGCGGGGAUGACGUCAAGUCCUCAUGGCCCCUACAUCCAGGGCUACACACGUACUACAAUGGCAGAGACAAAGCGUCGCGAAACCGCGAGGUGGAGCUAAUCGCAAAAACACUGUCUCAGUCCGGAUUGAAGUCUGCAACUCGACUUCAUGAAGCUGGAAUCGCUAGUAAUCGAAGAUCAGCACGCUUCGGUGAAUACGUUCCCGGGCCUUGUACACACCGCCCGU